RNAcentral lists this ribosomal RNA (602 nucleotides) under uncultured archaeon. RNAcentral's name for it is "bacterial SSU rRNA". It matches the Rfam family "Archaeal small subunit ribosomal RNA", at positions 319 to 923 of the family's 1478-position model. The record is from RNAcentral.
UCCCUAUGGGGUGCAGCAGGCGAGAAAACUUUGCAAUGUGCGAAAGCACGACAAGGUUAAUCCGAGUGGUUUCUGCUAAAGGAACCUUUUGUCGGUCCUAGAAACACCGAUGAAUAAGGGGUGGGCAAGUUCUGGUGUCAGCCGCCGCGGUAAAACCAGCACCUCAAGUGGUCAGGAUGAUUAUUGGGCCUAAAGCAUCCGUAGCCGGCUUUGUUAGUUUUCGGUUAAAUCUGUACGCUCAACGUACAGGCUGCCGGGAAUACUGCAGAGCUAGGGAGUGGGAGGGGUAGACGGUACUCGGUAGGAAGGGGUAAAAUCCUUUGAUCUAUUGAUGACCACCUGUGGCGAAGGCGGUCUACCAGAACACGUCCGACGGUGAGGGAUGAAAGCUGGGGGAGCAAACCGGAUUAGAUACCCGGGUAGUCCCAGCUGUAAACUAUGCAAACUCAGUGAUGCAUUGGCUUGUGGCCAAUGCAGUGCUGCAGGGAAGCCGUUAAGUUUGCCGCCUGGGAAGUACGUACGCAAGUAUGAAACUUAAAGGAAUUGGCGGGGGAGCACCACAAGGGGUGAAGCCUGCGGUUCAAUUGGAUUCAACGCCGGAA